This 82-nucleotide transfer RNA is filed under the name Saccharomyces cerevisiae R008. RNAcentral's name for it is "tRNA-Arg". The stretch from base 1 to 72 matches the Rfam family "tRNA". Rfam says of the family: Transfer RNA (tRNA) molecules are approximately 80 nucleotides in length. Their secondary structure includes four short double-helical elements and three loops (D, anti-codon, and T loops). Lineage: Eukaryota; Fungi; Ascomycota; Saccharomycetes; Saccharomycetales; Saccharomycetaceae. The record is from RNAcentral.
GCUCGCGUGGCGUAAUGGCAACGCGUCUGACUUCUAAUCAGAAGAUUAUGGGUUCGACCCCCAUCGUGAGUGUUGUUUUGUG